CCCAAGGAUGGGGCCGCGACCGAUCAGGUUGUUGGUGAGGUAAUGGCUCACCAAGCCUUUUACCGGUGCGGGCCGUGGGAGCGGGAGCCCGGAGAUGGGCACUGAGACAAGGGCCCAGGCCCUACGGGGCGCAGCAGUCGCGAAAACUUUGCAAUAAGCGAAAGCUUGACAGGGCUAUCCCGAGUGCCAUCCGCUGAGGAAGGCUUUUACCCAGUCUAGAACGCUGGGGGAAUAAGGAGAGGACAAGUCUGGUGUCAGCCGCCGCGGUAAUACCAGCUCUCCGAGUGGUGUGGAUGUUUAUUGGGCCUAAAGCAUCCGUAGCUGGCUAGGUUAGUCCCCUGUUAAAUCCACCGAAUUAAUCGUUGGAUUGCGGGGGAUACUGCUUGGCUAGGGGACGAGAGAGGCAGACGGUAUUUCCGGGGUAGGGGUGAAAUCCUAUAAUCCCGGGAGGACCACCAGUGGCGAAGGCUGUCUGCUAGAACGCGCCCGACGGUGAGGGAUGAAAGCUGGGGGAGCGAACCGGAUUAGAUACCCGGGUAGUCCCAGCUGUAAACGAU
This 557-nucleotide ribosomal RNA is filed under the name uncultured archaeon. RNAcentral describes it as "bacterial SSU rRNA". It matches the Rfam family "Archaeal small subunit ribosomal RNA", at positions 202 to 761 of the family's 1478-position model. The record is from RNAcentral.